CCAGCUCCAAUAGCGUAUANUAAAGUUGUUGCAGUUAAAAAGCUCGUAGUUGAAUUUCUGGUCUCGAGACGCGGCCAGCCCCAAGGGGCCAGUGCUGUCGGAUUGGGACCAUCCUCGAGAAGAACAUAUCUGUCAUUGAGUUGAUGGGUAUGGGACUCUCGUCAUUUACUGUGAGCAAAAUAGAGUGUUCAAAGCAGGCUUACGCCGUUGAAUACAUUAGCAUGGAAUAAUAAGAUAGGACCUUGGUCUAUUUUGUUGGUUAGUUCUCCAAGGUAAUGAUUAAUAGGGACAGUUGGGGGUAUUCGUAUUCAAUUGUCAGAGGUGAAAUUCUUGGAUUUAUGGAAGACGAACUACUGCGAAAGCAUUUACCAAGGAUGUUUUCAUUAAUCAAGAACGAAAGUUAGGGGAUCGAAGAUGAUUAGAUACCAUCGUAGUCGUCAUAGCUGUUUCC
This 451-nucleotide ribosomal RNA is filed under the name Brachysira sp. NA-2016a. Its description in RNAcentral is "SSU rRNA". It matches the Rfam family "Eukaryotic small subunit ribosomal RNA", at positions 585 to 1046 of the family's 1831-position model. The record is from RNAcentral. Lineage: Eukaryota; Bacillariophyta; Bacillariophyceae; Naviculales; Amphipleuraceae.